This 917-nucleotide ribosomal RNA is filed under the name uncultured bacterium. RNAcentral describes it as "bacterial SSU rRNA". It matches the Rfam family "Bacterial small subunit ribosomal RNA", at positions 68 to 988 of the family's 1533-position model. The record is from RNAcentral.
GGUAUUCUGGAUUUAUUCAGGAGAGAGCGGCGUACGGGUGCGUAACACGUGUGCAACCUACCUUUAUCAGGGGAAUAGCCUUUCGAAAGGGAGAUUAAUACUCCAUAAUAUAUUAAAUGGCAUCAUUUGAUAUUGAAAACUCCGGUGGAUAGAGAUGGGCACGCGCAAGAUUAGAUAGUUGGUGAGGUAACGGCUCACCAAGUCAAUGAUCUUUAGGGGUCCUGAGAGGGAGAUCCCCCACACUGGUACUGAGACACGGACCAGACUCCUACGGGAGGCAGCAGUGAGGAAUAUUGGACAAUGGGUGAGAGCCUGAUCCAGCCAUCCCGCGUGAAGGAUGACGGUCCUAUGGAUUGUAAACUUCUUUUGUACAGGGAUAAACCCAGAUACGUGUAUCUGGCUGAAGGUACUGUACGAAUAAGCACCGGCUAACUCCGUGCCAGCAGCCGCGGUAAUACGGAGGGUGCAAGCGUUAUCCGGAUUUAUUGGGUUUAAAGGGUCCGUAGGCGGACCGAUAAGUCAGUGGUGAAAUCUCAUAGCUUAACUAUGAAACUGCCAUUGAUACUGUCGGUCUUGAGUAAAUUUGAAGUGGCUGGAAUAAGUAGUGUAGCGGUGAAAUGCAUAGAUAUUACUUAGAACACCAAUUGCGAAGGCAGGUCACUAAGAUUUAACUGACGCUGAGGGACGAAAGCGUGGGUAGCGAACAGGAUUAGAUACCCUGGUAGUCCACGCCGUAAACGAUGCUAACUCGUUUUUGGGGCGCAAGCUUCAGAGACCAAGCGAAAGUGAUAAGUUAGCCACCUGGGGAGUACGUUCGCAAGAAUGAAACUCAAGGGAAUUGACGGGGGCCCGCACAAGCGGUGGAUUAUGUGGUUUAAUUCAAUGAUACGCGAGGAACCUUACCAAGACUUAAAUGG